Molecule: ribosomal RNA, 507 nt
Filed under: Xanthomantis mantispoides
Lineage: Eukaryota; Metazoa; Arthropoda; Insecta; Mantodea; Nanomantidae
Description: partial 16S ribosomal RNA
Source: RNAcentral
GGUUUYUUGUUUWAUUAAGAAAUCUAACCUGCCCACUGAAGAUAAAUUUUGAAGGGCCGCAGUAUUUUGACUGUGCGAAGGUAGCAUAAUCAUUAGUCUUUUAAUUGGAGGCUUGUAUGAAUGGUUGGACGAAGUAAAUACUGUUUUAUAUUAAUUUAUAAAUUGAAUUUGGAAUUUGAGUAAAAAUACUUAAAUUUUAUUAAGGGACGAGAAGACCCUAUAGAGUUUAAUAUAUAUAUAUUAUUUUAGUCAUAGUUAAAAAAAAAUUUUUGGUUAAUUAUUAAGUAUAUUUGAUUGGGGUGAUUAAUAAAUAAGAAAAACUUUUUUUUUUUAAUGGAAAUGUUAUGUGUAGUUAUUGGAUCCAUUAAUAAUAAUGAUUAUAAGAUUAAAUUACCUUAGGGAUAACAGCAUAAUUCUUUUUGAGAGUUCAUAUUGAGAAAGGAGAUUGUGACCUCGAUGUUGGAUUAAGAUAAGUUUUGGGUGUAGAUGUUCAAAAACUAGGUCUGU